GGGAAAGUGGCUCAGUGGUAGAGUGUUUGCCUUGCAUGCAUGAGGCCCUGUGUUCAAUUCCCCAGCACUACUU
This is a non-coding RNA of Dipodomys ordii (Ord's kangaroo rat), 73 nucleotides long. The record is from Rfam. NCBI's taxonomy places the organism in Eukaryota, Metazoa, Chordata, Mammalia, Rodentia, Heteromyidae.